Molecule: ribosomal RNA, 660 nt
Filed under: uncultured bacterium
Lineage: Bacteria
Description: bacterial SSU rRNA
Rfam family: Bacterial small subunit ribosomal RNA (bases 1-484)
Source: RNAcentral
CCUACGGGAGGCAGCAGUGAGGAAUAUUGGACAAUGGGCGCAAGCCUGAUCCAGCCAUGCCGCGUGCAGGAUGACGGUCCUAUGGAUUGUAAACUGCUUUUAUACGGGAAGAAACCCUGCCACGUGUGGCAGAUUGACGGUACCGUAAGAAUAAGGAUCGGCUAACUCCGUGCCAGCAGCCGCGGUAAUACGGAGGAUCCAAGCGUUAUCCGGAAUCAUUGGGUUUAAAGGGUCCGUAGGCGGGCUAGUAAGUCAGUGGUGAAAUCUCCCCGCUCAACGGGGAAACGGCCAUUGAUACUGCUAGUCUUGAAUUAUUGGGAAGUAACUAGAAUAUGUAGUGUAGCGGUGAAAUGCUUAGAGAUUACAUGGAAUACCAAUUGCGAAGGCAGGUUACUAUCAAUAUAUUGACGCUGAUGGACGAAAGCGUGGGUAGCGAACAGGAUUAGAUACCCUGGUAGUCCACGCCGUAAAACGAUGGACUACUAGCUGGUUGGGUUAGUCGAAGACUACUAGUAGGUACGUAAGUACGAAGUAGAAGUAAAGUAACGUACCGACCGUACGGGUAGGGUAACGGGGUCGGCGACGACGUACGAACGUUAACGAAGUUAGUUAGUUAGGACGGACGUUGAGACGNGCGACGGACGACGACGAGGGAGGAGG